CGCGGCCUAUCAGCUUGUUGGUGGGGUAAUGGCUCACCAAGGCGACGACGGGUAGCCGGCCUGAGAGGGUGACCGGCCACACUGGGACUGAGACACGGCCCAGACUCCUACGGGAGGCAGCAGUGGGGAAUAUUGCACAAUGGGCGGAAGCCUGAUGCAGCGACGCCGCGUGAGGGAUGACGGCCUUCGGGUUGUAAACCUCUUUCAGUAGGGAAGAAGCGAGAGUGACGGUACCUGCAGAAGAAGCGCCGGCUAACUACGUGCCAGCAGCCGCGGUAAUACGUAGGGCGCAAGCGUUGUCCGGAAUUAUUGGGCGUAAAGAGCUCGUAGGCGGUUUGUCGCGUCUGCUGUGAAAGCCCGGGGCUCAACCCCGGGUCUGCAGUGGGUACGGGCAGACUAGAGUGCAGUAGGGGAGACUGGAAUUCCUGGUGUAGCGGUGAAAUGCGCAGAUAUCAGGAGGAACACCGAUGGCGAAGGCAGGUCUCUGGGCUGUUACUGACGCUGAGGAGCGAAAGCAUGGGGAGCGAACAGGAUUAGAUACCCUGGUAGUCCAUGCCGUAAACGUUGGGCACUAGGUGUGGGGGACAUUCCACGUUUUCCGCGCCGUAGCUAACGCAUUAAGUGCCCCGCCUGGGGAGUACGG
RNAcentral lists this ribosomal RNA (643 nucleotides) under uncultured bacterium. RNAcentral describes it as "bacterial SSU rRNA". It matches the Rfam family "Bacterial small subunit ribosomal RNA", at positions 232 to 885 of the family's 1533-position model. The record is from RNAcentral. RNAcentral also lists the same sequence under 1 other name.